AAUCGAUCACUUUCUAAUUUUCAUUAACUAUGUGGGGAUACGGACUAGGGUCAUCCCAUUUGCAGAGAAGAGUUUUCAGGUUUGCACCGCUGUUCAAGUCGAAAGAACAACUCUCCUCUAAGUAAAUUUUGUUGAUUCUCCUCGUUUAGUUUAUGGGUUUGGUGAUUUGGAUUGGAUUCUACACUAAAGUUUCAUAUUCGAAUUCAAUUGGGUUACUUUAGCUUUUGUUCUUUGAUUUCUGCUAAUUUAUGCAAUUGGGUUAUAUAGCACAAGUUUGGCAAUGCUUAUGCUUUAAAGAAAGUCUGGAAAGGGGUGGAGCUAAUAAGAGAGCGCUUGCUCAGAUUUAGCUUGGGUGUUAGUUUGUUUAGUAUGUUGGGGAUGUUAUAGUUAGGGAAUUAGUAUGUAAUAGUUUGGGAUAAAAUGAGCAAUGAGAUUACUGUUUUCAUGCUCCUUUUUAACUCUUGACAUGAUUUCAGGUGAUAGAGGCUGAUAAUGUUAUGGGCUCAAGUAGGGUUGAUGAAGAUGCUGAACCCAUUUUACAAUAUGGACACAGCAUUUCUAGGAAAAGAGGUUUAUCAUGAGCUAAAUUUGAUGGUUUAAUGGGUUUGAGCUGUUAAACAGGCAGUACAAUCUUUGCAAAGUAAGGUUCUUAAGUGGUUUAUGUCAUAUAUUCUACAGACUUUGCUGACUUCUUUGUAUGUCAUAUAUCAAACCAUUUAGGGGUUCAGAAAGGUUUACUGAGAUGGUUCAAAGGAUAUCAUUUGUUUUAAAGUUUGUGAGCUGUGUAACAUUCUUUAUAUUGUUUUCAUUUUAUGUGAUGUAGUUGUCCAUUGAGGAGUAGAGGAGAACGCAGACAUCAUGCCUAGAAUUAAAGUGGGAAAGGAAAUCAAAUCUUGCUUACACACAUAAGGAUAUUGAUGUGGUUCGAGCUGAAUGGGCAAAUCAUGUUAUGAAGUUCUAACUUUGGUUCUGUUUAAGGUAGAUGAGUAGCAUCAGGAACUGCUUUUGUGCAUUUAUAUAUAACUGAUGGAAAGUGUUGAUGAACCUAAAUUAUGCAUGCAGUUGCUUUGCCUAGCUACUCUUUCUUUACCUUAUAGGUUUUUGACUUAGUGCAAUAUUAGGUAAAUGAUCGAGAUCGAUAAGAUGGUUUUUUGGUUCUCUUGAUCAUUAUGUAACUGUUGGCUAGGUUUAGAGUUGGAACUAUGGAUUGUAUUUUGGAUGAUGUUGAUGCAAUGAAACGUAGCCAUCAUUUUCA
Molecule: long non-coding RNA, 1255 nt
Organism: Rosa rugosa (rugosa rose)
Lineage: Eukaryota; Viridiplantae; Streptophyta; Magnoliopsida; Rosales; Rosaceae
Exons: 3
Source: RefSeq, a predicted model, not a curated record